CUAAAACCGGAGCGUUGUACAUCUCCCCACUCAUCUCUGUAGAAACACAGCAAAUCGUCGUUUCUUCUUUUAAAUAAUUCAGAGCUCUUAAAACCUACAGUAUCACAAUUCUGACAUUCUUUUCGGUCAAACAGAAACUUUAUAAAUUACUUUGAACCAUUUCACGAGUCAUAAACUCUUCCUGUAUAUCCUUCAGGGAGCGUCCUUUAGUUUCAGUGUUGCAGCAUAAAUACUGACUGUCAUGGUAGCAAAAGCUUUGACAUUGCUUGGAAAUAUUUCUGAGAGAACAGUAAACGCAGUUAAAUCAAUGCUAUGACUAAGAACAUAUCCAAUAAUGAAUGCAAGAGGAAGCCAAGAGUUUGAUGUAGAAUCAAAAAACAUAGCUGAAAUUCUUUGAAAAUAUAAAGGAAUGAUGAAUGUCAGUGAUGAAAGAACUGAAACAUUGUAAUUGAUUAUUAAUAAUUUUAUUAUUCAUCAUCUGUUUAUCUUGCUGAUACUAUAAUGCGAAACCUCAAUGAUUCUUUUAUACUGGCGAUAUACAUAUACCCAGAAAAUAUACUGUGCAAAAGUCAUCUUUAACACAUAUAUGCAUUAGAAGUUGUCUUUUUGGAAUCUUAUAGAUGACUUUAGGAUUUGCGUAUUGUCUGUGUAAUUAUAAUAUAUAAUUAUUAUUAAAUGCUUUGAACUUU
Molecule: long non-coding RNA, 689 nt
Organism: Cephus cinctus (wheat stem sawfly)
Lineage: Eukaryota; Metazoa; Arthropoda; Insecta; Hymenoptera; Cephidae
Exons: 2
Source: RefSeq, a predicted model, not a curated record